Molecule: long non-coding RNA, 786 nt
Organism: Alnus glutinosa
Lineage: Eukaryota; Viridiplantae; Streptophyta; Magnoliopsida; Fagales; Betulaceae
Exons: 4
Source: RefSeq, a predicted model, not a curated record
CUUCAUCUUCAUCUUUUAUUUUGUUUUGCUCACCAAACACACACACACACACACAGCAGCACACUUCUUCCCCCUCUCAACCACGAAAAUCUCCACCAUUUUCUCACUUGUCUCUUGCUCUUCUCCCUUCUCUCAUCAACCCUUGAAUCUUGGGAGCCAUGGCAUGAGAGGGCUUUGAUUUCUUGUUGGAAGCAUUGCACAAAGUGGCCUUUCAAGAGCAAAAACCGUUUGGCUUGGGCUUUGCUUCAAAUCAAGUCCUUCAUCAUUUUUGAGCUUUGAGUAACGAUUUUUGGGUGUUAGGACCUCCAAUCUACCGAUUAUUUUGAGGCACGUAAAGUGGAGACUUCAAUUGCUCCCCAACGGCGAGUUUAAGGUAACUAGAACAUGGGGGACAUUUGAGUCAUGAGUCCAAUGCAGUUAAGACUCUGAUGUUUUGACUGCAGGUUCGGUGGAUCUACUGAAUGACGUCGUAGCAUAGUACUCGAGAUGUUAUGACUGAAGCCCGUCGCGACAGUUAUAGUGGUUGGACCAUGGGUUGUCCACCUUUUGGUAGACUUUGUUUAUAGCUCGUGUCGCCUGCGACACUUGUAUUUAUGAGCCAGUCUUUUAGUAUGUAUUUGAUAGCUUUGUAGAAGUCUUAAACAAAUGGACAUAUUAAUGGCUCUUUUGUUGUGAUUAACUGUUGUUUAUAGAUGUACUUUCCGCUAGGUUGAUAAUGUUAUUAUGUGUUAUCCGUUGCGUAAAUGUAAUUCUGAUUAUUAGGUAAAUGUUAUGGAAUAUGUACCG